ACCAAACCAAACAGGCAUUAUCCACUUCCGUGCAACUCAGUGUUCACUGGCAAGACGAGUUACUCGCUUGGGAGAGAGAAGACUACGGUGGCAUAGAGGGCUUGCUUUUUCCACAAGAUGAUAUUUGGAAGCCUGAUCUACGUCUAAAUAACUCGUACGACUCCUUCACAGGAUUUGGAUCUGCCGCGCUAACUGUAUGGGUGACUUAUGAUGGCAACGUCAGCUGGUACCCCAUUCAAGCACUUGAAUCACAAUGUUCAAUUGACACCUGGCGUUUCCCAUAUGAUAACCAGACUUGCAGUUUGUUCUUUGAAUCGGCGAACUAUCCCGAAUCGCAGUUGAAGUUAUUGAGUAAAGGAGAAGAUGGCUUAAAGCUAACGUAUUAUAAGGAAAACCCCGAAUGGAAUUUAAC
This is a long non-coding RNA of Dreissena polymorpha, 412 nucleotides long. RefSeq lists it as uncharacterized. The transcript has 3 exons. The record is from RefSeq and is a predicted model, not a curated record. Lineage: Eukaryota; Metazoa; Mollusca; Bivalvia; Myida; Dreissenidae.